GGAAACCACAAACAUGUCUUCUGCUGAGGCAGUGUGAAAGCAGCUGUAGAUGGGCCAGGCUUGCACGGUGCAACACCACGAAUGCCUCUGAGGAACGACUGUCUGUCUGGAUUCCAUGCAGGGCUGUUGAAAUGAACGUGGUGGCUGGUGGAGUCGAUGCCUUAAGGAGGUGCAUGUCUGAGUGUAGUGUGUGUGAGUGGUCUUGAUGUUGUAAUCCACACCUGGACAGGCGCCAAGCAUGUCUGCAGACACCUGCGUCAGACUGACUGAGAAAAACAAGAGUGAAAAGAACAGAUCCCACCCCUUCAUCCCUCUGCUCUCUGAGUCUCCCUCUGUGUUAGUGUG
Molecule: long non-coding RNA, 345 nt
Organism: Epinephelus fuscoguttatus (brown-marbled grouper)
Lineage: Eukaryota; Metazoa; Chordata; Actinopteri; Perciformes; Serranidae
Exons: 5
Source: RefSeq, a predicted model, not a curated record